AUCUCAGUUGGUAGAGUGCUUGCCUUGCAUGCAUAAGGCCCUGGGUUCAAUCCCCAG
RNAcentral lists this transfer RNA (57 nucleotides) under Ictidomys tridecemlineatus (thirteen-lined ground squirrel). RNAcentral's name for it is "Spermophilus tridecemlineatus (thirteen-lined ground squirrel) tRNA". It matches the Rfam family "tRNA", at positions 9 to 63 of the family's 71-position model. From Rfam's summary of the family: Transfer RNA (tRNA) molecules are approximately 80 nucleotides in length. Lineage: Eukaryota; Metazoa; Chordata; Mammalia; Rodentia; Sciuridae. RNAcentral also lists the same sequence under 1 other name. The record is from Rfam by way of RNAcentral.